Molecule: long non-coding RNA, 1001 nt
Organism: Tachysurus fulvidraco (yellow catfish)
Lineage: Eukaryota; Metazoa; Chordata; Actinopteri; Siluriformes; Bagridae
Exons: 2
Source: RefSeq, a predicted model, not a curated record
GCCAAACCCCCUGCAUGUACUUGCAUUCAGUAACUACCUUACUAACUCUUAAUAAGCAUUAAAUUAGGGGUAUUACCACAUGCACGGAUAAUUUGAUGACUCUUACAGACUCACUUCCCCCUGAAAUUAAAAAUAAAUAAAAAAUCUCCAUAUAUACAUCCUCUCUGAUUACCACACAAGCCACACUUGCUGCAUUUGAGCCUAAGGACUACAUCAAGUCAAAACAAUGCCACGCACACCAUCUCAUGUGUGGACACAUUUCACCACAGCCAAUGUGGAAGGAAAGGUUGUGUACAGUUGCAAAUACUGUGCAAAAACCUAUGUUAAGAAAGCCAAGUGCCCAAAGUUUCCCCAGGGCUCAAAAAAAGCAGCCCCAGCCAAGAGGUUCAUCUGCUUCCAUUCAGAGUGAAAAUGAUUCAGAUUCAGACACCUUCUCGUCAGCUCCUAGUCACUCUGGAAUCAGAGGAUUUUUUGACUCAAUGGAUGAUCGUAGCCAGAGAAAUGUUGAGUGUUUUGCUCGAGCAAUGUAUGCUAUUGGCUCCCCCCUGAUGCUCACAGCCAAUGUCUACUGGAAGAGAUUUCUGAAUGUUCUUCGCCCCGCAUACACACCUCCCACCAGACAUGCUUUAUCUACUCACUUGCUGGAUACUGAGUUCAACAGAGUGCAAGCAAAAGUCAAGCAAACCACUGACAAAGCAGAUUGCAUUUCGGUCAUCUAUGAUGGGUGGUCGAAUGUCCGGGGGCAAGGAAUUAUCAAUUACAUCGUCUUGACUAUUAUGUUCAUUGUUUUGUGUUACUCAAUGAAAGAAUCAAUUAAAUCAGUCAAGACGUCAUGUCUGUUUAUGACCAAACAAAAUGUUUAUUUAUGUUUGUAUAAUGACAUAGUUGAUAUAAAUUUUCCUAUAUUUCCAAAUAAUUCCCAUAAAUUCCUGUAAAUUCCCAUAAAGUUUACAAUUUGGAAUAUUUCUAAAAUAUCCCAGAUUAAGUUCCCUGUGGACAGU